RNAcentral lists this ribosomal RNA (405 nucleotides) under uncultured bacterium. Its description in RNAcentral is "partial 16S ribosomal RNA". It matches the Rfam family "Bacterial small subunit ribosomal RNA", at positions 28 to 526 of the family's 1533-position model. The record is from RNAcentral.
GAUGAACGCUGGCGGCGUGCCUAAUACAUGCAAGUCGAGCGAAGCGGGGACGGGGGAGUAACACGUGGAUAACCUCCUUUACCACUGGGUUAACUUCGGGAAACCGGAGCUAAACCGGCUACUUAGGUGUGGCUCCUCGGUGCAUAAGCUGGUUGGUAAGGUAACGGCUCACCAAGGCAACGAUGCAUAGCCGACCUGAGAGGGUGAUCGGCCACACUGGAACUGAGACACGGCCCAGACUCCUACGGGAGGCAGCAGUAGGGAAUCUUCCGCAAUGGGCGAAAGCCUGACCGAGCAACGCCGCGUGAGUGAUGAAGGUCUUCGGAUCGUAAAACUCUGUUAUUAGAGAAGCGGUACCUAAUCAGAAAGCCACGGCUAACUACGUGCCAGCAGCCGCGGUAAUUC